UGCAUCGCGUGCUUACACAUGCAGUCGAACGAUGAUCAGGAGCUUGCUCCUGUGAUUAGUGGCGAACGGGUGAGUAACACGUGAGUAACCUGCCCCUGACUCUGGGAUAAGCGUUGGAAACGACGUCUAAUACUGGAUAUGAUCACUGGUCGCAUGGCCUGGUGGUGGAAAGAUUUUUUGGUUGGGGAUGGACUCGCGGCCUAUCAGCUUGUUGGUGAGGUAAUGGCUCACCAAGGCGACGACGGGUAGCCGGCCUGAGAGGGUGACCGGCCACACUGGGACUGAGACACGGCCCAGACUCCUACGGGAGGCAGCAGUGGGGAAUAUUGCACAAUGGGCGAAAGCCUGAUGCAGCAACGCCGCGUGAGGGAUGACGGCCUUCGGGUUGUAAACCUCUUUUAGUAGGGAAGAAGGGAGCUUCGGUUCUUGACGGUACCUGCAGAAAAAGCACCGGCUAACUACGUGCCAGCAGCCGCGGUAAUACGUAGGGUGCAAGCGUUGUCCGGAAUUAUUGGGCGUAAAGAGCUCGUAGGCGGUUUGUCGCGUCUGCUGUGAAAUCCCGAGGCUCAACCUCGGGCUUGCAGUGGGUACGGGCAGACUAGAGUGCGGUAGGGGAGAUUGGAAUUCCUGGUGUAGCGGUGGAAUGCGCAGAUAUCAGGAGGAACACCGAUGGCGAAGGCAGAUCUCUGGGCCGUAACUGACGCUGAGGAGCGAAAGCAUGGGGAGCGAACAGGAUUAGAUACCCUGGUAGUCCAUGCCGUAAACGUUGGGCGCUAGAUGUAGGGACCUUUCCACGGUUUCUGUGUCGUAGCUAACGCAUUAAGCGCCCCGCCUGGGGAGUACGGCCGCAAGGCUAAAUAGUGAUUUUUUUUUCUGC
This 877-nucleotide ribosomal RNA is filed under the name Actinobacteridae bacterium F1H13D07. RNAcentral describes it as "bacterial SSU rRNA". It matches the Rfam family "Bacterial small subunit ribosomal RNA", at positions 38 to 917 of the family's 1533-position model. Lineage: Bacteria; Bacillati; Actinomycetota; Actinomycetes. The record is from RNAcentral.